Molecule: long non-coding RNA, 903 nt
Organism: Mauremys mutica (yellowpond turtle)
Lineage: Eukaryota; Metazoa; Chordata; Testudines; Geoemydidae
Exons: 5
Source: RefSeq, a predicted model, not a curated record
CACAUAUGCUGAAGGCAACAAAAAUGCUGGGAAGUCAAAGACUUUGAACUGAGGAGAUUGGUCCCAGGCUGAGAAGGAAGUUCAGCUUGUGUAUUAAGAACUGUAACCUACCAGCAACAUCCAGUGAGGUUAAGAAAUGGAGGUUCAGAAGGGUGAAGUGAUUUACCUAACAGGUCUCCACCUACCUUGCUGACAUACACACACAGAGAAAGACAGCUAGAAGAAGGCAGGAAAGUGACAGGCAAAAGGGGGGCUUGGAUACACUCAGUGAAGCCCCUUCUGCUAUGGACAGUCCUGGACCCUCCAGCCUUGUCCCUGAGGGCUCAUAACAGGCGCUGCUCCAGCAUGGGGAGUUUCUGGGCAUCCACAAGGCCAAGGUCCGCAGGACCUAUUCCUGCUCCCAGUGGAAUGAAUGGCAAAACUCCCACUAAUUUCAGUGGUACAAUAUGAGAGCCAAUGGUGACAUCCACCAGAUAAGAUUUACCUAAGAGUCAGACAGCUACCCGUUGAUGGCUUGUUAAGGUCAAUUAAUUCUAACAACGGGUCAUAGAAGAAGCUCCUCUUGCCUGGUGAAUAUUCCUGUGGACGCUCCAGCCAGAAUAUGGAUAAUGGCUGCCCCUGUAUGUCAGUAAGCCAUGUGACUUGUUGAUGUGAUCCUGGACUCCAUCUUGUGCUAGUAGUUUUCCACAAACUGUACUGUGAACUUUGUUCUGGGACAGUAAAAUUCCAAGCACAUGGCAGAAGGUAUAACAGACCCUUGAAUCAUCUCCAUGUUGCCUCUUUCCUGCUCUGAUUCUGUGGACUAUGGACUUAAAACUAAAAGGAGCAUAUUGAACUACAGACUGAGGACUUUCCAACCUUUUGGAGACUUUACAAUCCAGCAGUCUAUAACAUCACUGCCAC